ACAGGCAGUGCGCCCAACAGCCCCAUGGCGCUGCUCACCAUCGGGUCCAGCUCAGAGAAGGAGAUUGAUGAUGUCAUUGAUGAGAUCAUCAGCCUGGAGUCCAGUUACAAUGAUGAAAUGCUCAGCUAUCUGCCCGGAGGCACCACAGGACUGCAGCUCCCCAGCACGGUGAGGCCCUGAGAUGGGAGGUUGGUCUGAAAAUUAGGGCAUUUCUGUAUCACCAAGACCAUACUCAGUCUGGCUGUGUGUAUAGGAGACCCUUGCCUUGAUUGUGCUAAGAUAGAGAGGGAGGCCUUAUGACGAGAACAGGGUAUGUCAACAAUGCCUUUGGACCUUGUUGGACUGUGUUGAGAGGUGGACCAUGUAGACUGUGAGAGAUACAGGUGGGGAGUUCACUGAGACAGUAGGGCAUAUCAAAGUGCUUGGGCUUUGCUGUGAG
RNAcentral lists this long non-coding RNA (439 nucleotides) under Homo sapiens (human). RNAcentral describes it as "transcription factor binding to IGHM enhancer 3 (ENSG00000292217.1)". Lineage: Eukaryota; Metazoa; Chordata; Mammalia; Primates; Hominidae. The record is from RNAcentral.